GGUAUCCUGACCGUNCNAAGGUAGCAUAAUCAUUUGCCGUUUAAUUGGUGGCUGGAAUGAAUGAAUAUACGAGAGCUCAACUGUCUCAUCUUUACUUAUAAAAAUUGACCUCCGGGUGAAGAGACCCGGAUUAACCAAAAAGACGAAAAGACCCUUUAGAGCUUGACCUUACCUCUUAUUUACUGAAUGAAGGUUUAGUUGGGGCAACUAGAGAGUAACUAAAACCUCUCUAUUAGUAAACCUAUGUUGAUCCGAGAAAAUCGAUUAAGAGAAAAAGCUACCUCAGGGAUAACAGGCUAAUCCUCUUUGAGAGACCAUAUUGACAAGAGGGAUUGGCACCUCGAUGUUGGCUUAGGAGUCAUAGCUGUUUCCUGA
Molecule: ribosomal RNA, 375 nt
Filed under: Dipolydora quadrilobata
Lineage: Eukaryota; Metazoa; Annelida; Polychaeta; Spionida; Spionidae
Description: partial large subunit ribosomal RNA
Rfam family: Bacterial large subunit ribosomal RNA
Source: RNAcentral